CACAGGCUUGUAUGUAAACAAGGUCAGCCCUACACUGCAGUGCAUAUCACAGGCUGCUGGAAAGGCAGAAGUUGGUUGGUCUUCGUGAACACCUGUGGCAGAAGUCUGCGGACGCUGAUUUUUCUUUAGGGGUUCAAGAGGUCCACAGAGCUGCCAGGAUGAUGAAAGACUGCUUGCAUUUUCUCGUGGAGCCGGCCAAGAAGCUCAAAAUCCGUCUGAAGGAAUCUCGUAAAAGAGCAAGGACUGAAAAGAAGGCCCCCCUUCUAGAGAGUCAGCUGUUCAUCAUGGAGCUGGCCAGGGAGCUGAACCGGGUGUGCCAGGUAUACACACA
Molecule: non-coding RNA, 331 nt
Organism: Paramormyrops kingsleyae
Lineage: Eukaryota; Metazoa; Chordata; Actinopteri; Osteoglossiformes; Mormyridae
Source: RefSeq, a predicted model, not a curated record